This 182-nucleotide small RNA is filed under the name Pseudomonas sp. 8Z. RNAcentral's name for it is "P1". It matches the Rfam family "Pseudomonas sRNA P1". Rfam says of the family: There appears to be two related copies of P1 sRNA in the P.aeruginosa PA01 genome and both copies appear to be located upstream of predicted glutamine synthetase genes. Lineage: Bacteria; Pseudomonadati; Pseudomonadota; Gammaproteobacteria; Pseudomonadales; Pseudomonadaceae. The record is from RNAcentral.
ACACCCGUGUUAUUGCUGUAAGUGGGCUUUCGACCGAGCUUAGCUUUGUUCAUUUUUUUACACAAUAUAUCUGUAAAAAAUCAAACACACCCCGCUGAGCACCGCGACAUCACAGGGUUUGAGAGCCACAUAACAGCCCUUCAACGCCCCAAAAACGGCCAUAACGCCCCGCUUCGGGGCAU